GUGAUCUAUGGAUCAGCUCAGCUAUGACAGCAGCAUCACCAGCUUGGGAAUAACCUCCCCAAAUGAUGCAAUGCCAUCUUCUAAGAUGUUUGUUUCUUAGAGGGUCAACCAUGUUGAAAAGGACAGGACAGAAUCUCUGUAGUAAGGAAAAAUAUCUUUUGGUGAUGGAAACAGAGUGGUGUGAAUAGGACAACAGUAAAUCUGUCCCCAAGCCACUUUCCAACUGUAAAUCAUCAUUAUAUGGGAUUGACUUUCUGCUCAUGGUGACACUUUACCCGGUGAAGUGAGCGGAAGGAUUGGAAGUAAUUUCUACAAUAUCAGCCUCUUUGGUGUGAUUCAUUUCUGCUUUCAUCACAGCAAGUGGAAGGAAGAUACCCAGCAGGGGAAUACCUGGAUCAAAUAGAACUUCCAAUCCUAGUUUUUUGAGGAAUCUCCACACUGAUUUCCACAGUGGUUGCACCAGUCUACAGUCUCCAAUAGACUUGUGUCUUCACCCUGCUGCAUCGUGACUAGCACCUAUGGCUGGACAGCCAACAUGGAGUGGAUCAUGAAGGCCCAGGUCCUCCAUGACAGCUCUACCAUGGGUUACAUGAUGGUCAAGAAGCACCUGGAGAUCAGCCCUGACCACCUCAUUGUGGAGAUGCUGCAGCAGACGGCUGAAGCUGACAUGAAUGCGUUCUCUUUCACUGACAGUGACUCUAGGAAGACCAGAUAAUAGAAUCUGCAGCAGACAACUUCUUUGCUGGUACUUUGUUGGAAAGAUACUCCUAGGGAGACGAGCGAAGAACAAGGCAAUGGAACAAGAGAGAAGGGAGAGCUGACAUGGAUAAUCCACAGUGGCCGUCAGCAUGCGUGAAAACCAGAGGACCCAGUAACUACUUCAUCUAAGAAGCUGAGAAUCACAGAGCAAGAGAAGUCAGAGACACAGUUCUAGUAUGAGGCUGGAGGAUCGGAAGUUUCCUAAAGAACAGCUGGUGGAGUUUACAUCAGAAGGAUGAAGAACCUGC
Long non-coding RNA from Heterocephalus glaber (naked mole-rat), 1007 nucleotides. The record is from Ensembl. Lineage: Eukaryota; Metazoa; Chordata; Mammalia; Rodentia; Bathyergidae.